GCUCCGUUGGUCUAGUGGUAUGAUUCUCGCUUAGGGUCCACAACCCUGAGUAACAUUUGCGAGAGGUCCCGUGUUCAAACCACGGAUGGAGCC
Peziza echinospora is the source of this 93-nucleotide non-coding RNA. NCBI's taxonomy places the organism in Eukaryota, Fungi, Ascomycota, Pezizomycetes, Pezizales, Pezizaceae. The record is from the annotation of a GenBank genome assembly.